GAGAGUAUAGCUCAGUGGUAGAGUGCAUGCUUAGCAUGCAUGAGGUCCUGGGUCCAAUCCCCAGUACCUCCU
Molecule: transfer RNA, 72 nt
Filed under: Camelus bactrianus (Bactrian camel)
Lineage: Eukaryota; Metazoa; Chordata; Mammalia; Artiodactyla; Camelidae
Also listed under: 3 other names
Rfam family: tRNA
About the family: Transfer RNA (tRNA) molecules are approximately 80 nucleotides in length. Their secondary structure includes four short double-helical elements and three loops (D, anti-codon, and T loops).
Source: Rfam by way of RNAcentral